CCCACCCUUCAGAGUAAGAAGCCCAGUCUCUGAACAUGAAAUCCCACCAAUCUCCACCCUGGAGAGCUCUACCCUCUCCCCAAGAAACUCUAUAUGAGCCCUGUAUCCUGUUCAGAUUGCUGCUGUUUCUCAAUUGCAAGCUUUGGCUGUCAGCCUUCUGGGUUUUCCUGUUCCAAAAAUUGUCUUGUGUGAGGUUUGUUGUGUGAUAUUACCUUGUGGUAUUCCUUGGCUCCUAACUGCCAGGAAACCUUUCCAUCCAAGCUUUAAUGCUUACAGUGGGGGCAGGCUUUGAUGUUUCCCAUGCCCAGGAUACUGCCCAGUGUCCCAGUUGACUCCCUGUAACCUGCAAGAAGAAGAACCUUCAGCUGCUUCUCCAGCACCACGUCUGCCUACACGCUGCCAUGCUCCUUGCCAUGAUGAUAAUGGACUGAACCCCUGAAACUGUAUGACCCUGUGGGGCAGCUCCACAGGGCGGCCAGUGUGGGCGAUGUGACUUCAGUUGAGAGACUCAUCAACUUCAAUCAAUAAAUACCAUGUAAACGGAUAUGACAGGAGUGGCAGACUUGCAAGAAAGAAAGCUUUGGGGAUCCUCCUGCAUCCACAUCUCCAAGUUUCUCAAGGUGCUGGAGAUUCUGAAGUUGGUGUCUCAGGCUUGCAGGGACAUCACUGCAUUACGCCCGUGCCCUGCUGUGGUGAUAUUAUUAUCCAACUGAACAGAUUUUAAUAUCCAGGAUGAUGGUGGUUGCACAUUCUUGAUUAAGGAAGUUAUCAGACAACAGUUUUGGACCACCUGCCCAGUCAUGCCAACACCCCUAGGAAGCUGUGCCCUCCCAUAUCAACCUCAGUCAAGAAAAUGCUCUACAGACUUCCCAGAGUCCAGUCUGGUGGAGGCAAUUCUUCAGGUCACCCAGCAGGACAACGUGGAGUGUGUUUCUAUAUUACUGAUGCAGAGUGCUGAUCCCCACAUCAUAGAUUUCAGAGGGAAUGCAGCCCCACACCAUGCCAUUUCCAGAGGUAACACAACAGUUGCCAGCAACCUGCUCGGAUACAACAUAAAUAUUGAAGCCAAAACAGAGAUGAGAAUCUAAAGCUCAGCCAUGUCAGUUUAGCUGCUGAAGGCCUCCCAGCUAGCGGGGAUACAAGUUCACACUGGGAUCACUCAGGGAGUCCCUGAUUUCUGGGUGAGAACCUUCUGGGCAAGGAUGGGUCCCCCAACCUUUGGUGUUCAUGUUUCUUGCAUGGCCUUUGACUUCAUUUUCUCUUCUUCUUCUCUCUCUGUGCCCAGAGGCGAUCCUGAGACUCCAUUCGUGUGUACUUUGCUGCCUUCUCAUUGGGUCCAGCCAGUGGUAGAGUAGAUGUGCACAUAUUUAUUCUCCUCUUGUCCUCCCUUGGCAGGAUCUUGUGCUAGCCAUGGCCCCCUCUCUGAUGGCUAGUUCUACUUGUCUACCUUACAAUGAAGAAUCGCCUAGUAAGAGAGACUUGAAGUUUUUUUUUUUUUGAAGAGGGGAUGCAGUGAACUUUAUUGACGGUAUUCA
Myodes glareolus (Bank vole) is the source of this 1535-nucleotide non-coding RNA. NCBI's taxonomy places the organism in Eukaryota, Metazoa, Chordata, Mammalia, Rodentia, Cricetidae. The record is from RefSeq and is a predicted model, not a curated record.